UACGUAGGGGGCUAGCGUUGUCCGGAAUCAUUGGGCGUAAAGCGCGUGUAGGCGGCCCGGUAAGUCCGCUGUGAAAGUCGGGGGCUCAACCCUCGGAUGCCGGUGGAUACUGUCGGGCUCGAGUACGGAAGAGGCGGGUGGAAUUCCUGGUGUAGCGGUGGAAUGCGCAGAUAUCAGGAAGAACACCCGUGGCGAAGGCGGCUCUCUGGGACGGUACUGACGCUGAGACGCGAAAGCGUGGGGAGCGAACAGG
RNAcentral lists this ribosomal RNA (253 nucleotides) under uncultured bacterium. RNAcentral describes it as "partial 16S ribosomal RNA". It matches the Rfam family "Bacterial small subunit ribosomal RNA", at positions 524 to 776 of the family's 1533-position model. The record is from RNAcentral.